UAGGGAAUUUUCGUCAAUGGGGGGAACCCUGAACGAGCAAUGCCGCGUGUGUGAAGAAGGUCUUCGGAUCGUAAAGCACUGUUGUAAGUGAAGAAUGCCACAUAGAGGAAAUGCUGUGUGGGUGACGGUAGCUUACCAGAAAGCCACGGCUAACUACGUGCCAGCAGCCGCGGUAAUACGUAGGUGGCAAGCGUUAUCCGGAAUCAUUGGGCGUAAAGGGUGCGUAGGUGGCACGAUAAGUCUGAAGUAAAAGGCAACAGCUCAACUGUUGUAUGCUUUGGAAACUGUCGAGCUAGAGUGCAGAAGAGGGCGAUGGAAUUCCAUGUGUAGCGGUAAAAUGCGUAGAUAUAUGGAGGAACACCAGUGGCGAAGGCGGUCGCCUGGUCUGUAACUGACACUGAUGCACGAAAGCGUGGGGAGCAAAUAGGAUUAGAUACC
Molecule: ribosomal RNA, 438 nt
Filed under: uncultured bacterium
Lineage: Bacteria
Description: bacterial SSU rRNA
Rfam family: Bacterial small subunit ribosomal RNA
Source: RNAcentral